Long non-coding RNA from Halichondria panicea, 5155 nucleotides. RefSeq lists it as uncharacterized. The transcript has 6 exons. The record is from RefSeq and is a predicted model, not a curated record. NCBI's taxonomy places the organism in Eukaryota, Metazoa, Porifera, Demospongiae, Suberitida, Halichondriidae.
UUCAAGUCUAAAAUGAAUGGCAAGUCAGCAGCGCAGAGCCUUGCAGCUCUCUGCUCACUCUUGCAGCUACCAAUAGCUAGCGUUCUAGUGCAGAGCUAACUACUAAGUAGAGUAGUAACAUUCGGUGAACAAGUUUUGCUACGGACUCUUCUGAAAAGGCUGCAAUGGCAUUCCAAGUAAGCAAAACUAGGCAUAACUCGAGAAUGAAGCAUUAUUUUGCAAAUCCACGAAUUAAAAUCCAAGUAAACAUGACUAGAAGCCUAUAGAAACUCUUACUUGCACUUGAUUCAUCCUUGAGCAGCUGUAGCGGUCUACACACACAAACACACCGUAUACCCAUAGAUACUAUAAAUUAGUGUAAUUUAUAUUAUUGCUUUUUAAUAAGUGCUGACAUCAGCGUUUUACAUUCAAAUUGCACAGGAAGCGACUCAUCACCGACUGUGCAGAUAUUUUUCCAUAUUGCACACCCAGAAGUAUUAUUGCACUUGUUAUUGCACACUAAGAAGUGAUUCUUAUUUGGAAUAAAACGUUUUCAGCAGUGAAAGAACAAGAAAAACAUAGUUUACACGCUUAUAAUUAUGCAUUGCAAUGUUUAUCAGUCUCUUUUCUUGUUUUCUGAUGCUCUGUAUCACUUCUGUGCUCUUUUUGCAGUGAAGCUGAGGGUCAGGAGGUUGUCAGUGUUCAUAUUUAACGCAUCAAACAGGCAUCAGUGUUGGAAGUGGGUGCUUUGAGCGGAGUAUUGCACAUGUAGAAGUGUACUGCACCACCAUAUAAGCCUGUUCAGGCUUGUAUAAAGUCGUUUUGGCUUCAAAAACGGUUGUCACACUUUUCUUCAGUUAUAGCGGUGCAUGUUUCCUCUUCUGAUACACUGGAGCAUGAUAGAAAGCAAGCACAUGCUGUUUAUCCUUCAGAACUAUCCAUUUUCAAAACGGGUUGCUGGUUGUCAACGUUUUUCUUGUCUUUUUUCUUGUCUGUUCUCUACAAAAUCUUUAAGUAGCCUUCUGCAAGCUCUCUUGGUGUUCUAGAGUCUUAUUUCUUUGUCUUUCUAGCUGUUUUCUUUCUCUUAAACUGUCUUCAACUGGGAGAAAUCAAUUUUGUUGCUACGCAUUCUUCUGGUUGAUAAAGCAACCGCAUGUUGCGCAUGCGCAGAUUCAACCUGCAUUUUGGUUGCCAAGCAAUAAAUGCAUUAUCCCAUGGAUACUGAUGAUUAUCACUCGUCCGUGCCUAGUAACUGUCACUCAUGCCUUGCAGGCACUAGUGCAGUUACUGGCACAGACUCGUGAUAAUCUUCAGUAUCCAUAGGAUAAUAUGAUAGUAUCUAUGGUAUACCUCGCUUGCGCAUGCGCACCGAGGCAUAAAAAGCUAUGGCAGAAGUUGGAACUCGUGAUGAUUUGGCAGCUUACGAGAUGUGGUUGGUUUGGAGGAUGCUACUGAGAGGGGGAGGGGCUCUUUUGGAGCUGUGUAUGAAGUCGAAGUCUAUGGUGUUCCAUGUGUAGCCAAAUGUCUUCACGAUAUCCUCAUAGGUUAUCAACAGCAGUUCAAGGGACCAAUGAAACUAGACAAAGAAGGUGUGGAUGCAAGUUUCGAGACGAGUGCACCCUUCACUGUCAGUUGAGGCACCCGAACAUUGUUCAAUUUCUGGGUAUCCACUAUGGGAUGUAUAGUGGAGAGUUGGCUUUGAUUGUCGAGAGGCUUCAGUGGGAUUUAGGGAAGUUCGUGGAAGCAUAUAAAGAGAUUCCUGAAUCGAUCAAAGUAUCAUUUCUGUUGGACGUGGCAUAUGGUCUUAUGUAUCUUCACAACCGCACACCUUUUGUUAUCCACCAAGAUCUCUCUGCUGGUAAUGUCCUAAUCUCAGGAGAAGGAAAAGCAAAGAUAGCUGAUUUGGGAGCAUCAAAAUUUUUUCUAAUGUCUGCACUUCAAGCACACACUGCUGGCCAACCUGGAGCAUUUGCUUACAUGUCACCCAAAGCUAUUCAACCGAAUCCACAAUAUGACCAGUCAUUUGACAUUUUCUCGUUUGGUGCAGUCAUGCACUCUUUACACGGCUACUCAAAAGUAAAAUUCCCUUUUGCUCACGAAAUAGCACCUUCGGUUAGAGAGGUACAAAAUGGAGAGAUACAAAUUGCUAAGCGAAGAGUGGCUAUUGAACAAGCUCAAAACAGUUGCCUGUUACCUUUAAUUAAAAAUUGUCUCCUCGACAACUCAAAAAGCCGCCCAUCAACUUCUCAACUUUGAAGCAACUGGCAUCACAGAAUCUACGAACAAGUGGAGAUUUUUCGAAGCUACUUGGUGGAGGAAAAGACAAAAGUGCUGAGUUGCUCCUAAUAGCGCAAGAAGAGAUUUCUCAGGAAAUAGCUACUCUUAGCAAAGAAAAAAAUGAUUCAGAAGUGAUCAGUGCGAGUUCUGAAGCCGGGAGACCCCCCGUAGUGGACCCCCUACCAAGAGGAGCACCCGGUAUUUCACCUACGUCAAAACGAGCUCACGAAGGAGUGGUAACCACGGAAACCUAGAGCCUUUACGGUCGGUUUCAGAGUUCAAUGUGGGAGAGCUGAGAAAGGGGGAGGAGUUUCCAUCUGAUAUGAAUGUGUACCAGCAGUUGUUAGAGGACGUGACUACCGAGAGAGAUGAACUGAAGCGGAGUCUGGAACGUGUGUCAAGCGUCUGGAGGCUCUUAAGAGUGUGUGGAUAUACCAUAGCUGUUGAGCAACUAAUUGAUGAAUCUGCUACUAAACAGUCUCAUCAUGAAACGAUUACGAGGCAGUCUACUUCAGAUAGGAGUACUGCUGUGUGCAGUUCAUGUGGAAGCCGCUGACUGAUAUAGUUUAUCCCGAAAUAAUGCUCCUAGCUUCAUUUGAGCCCGGUAGUGUUUCCCUUAAGUUGAACUCUGAUGGAGGUCACUAUGCCUCGUCAACUGUGGCGAUCCCCAAUGGGACUUACGAGGGACAGCUGGUAAUCGAAGACAGCUUCAUCCAACCUGUCAAAAAAUUCACUGUCGACAAUUUCAAUGACAUCAUCGUACUCGAGUUUGAUGUGGAGCAAGGCAAAGAGUCGCCAGCCGACAGUGAUUUGGGAGUUUCCACAUUAGCUCAUUACGGUACUGGCGAUAUGCAAGUUCUGAGCCCCCCACCACCAACAGCCACACAGGCCUCUGGGAGACUCCCGUGGACCCUCCACGAAGAGGCACACACAUCACCAAGUUCUGAACCCGGGAGAAUCCUGUAUACAGUUCUCCUACCAAUAGUAGAUAUAUAGCUUUCUUAUAAUUAUAACUCAACAAGAGAUGUGGGAUCACAAUGGUUACCAAAUCAUUUGCUGUUUGUAGAAACACAUGCAUACUUAUAAUUAAUUAUGUAUGCGCAUGCGCUAGUGAAGAUACGCAAAAUCAAAUCACAAAACCAGCAUGCAGGACACCCUCCCUACCCAUUGCCAUAACGGGGAGCGCUUUUUCUAGCUCCCCAAAAUUCUAUUCCCAAAUUCUCAACACACCAUUAAUUUUCAGACAGUUGCAUGCCCAUUAUUCUUAUUUCCCAAAAUUAAUUAUACUUACAUGUUUAAGAGCAUGCACAGCCAGCGUGAUAGUAUAUGUAGCCUCCUUCGCAGGUCUAUAUAUAGAAGAAGUGCGGCCUGGGAUCGAGGCUAAGCGUAAUACCAGCCAGUUCUCAUUAGUACAUGGAGAGAGAGAACCCAACUGGUAUCACAAGACUAUACACAUGCAAACACGCAGGACACAAAAAAUAAACCACUCUAUAAUAUGAAGCCUCAAUUCAUCUAUAUAUACCGUGCUAGCCUCGUUCCCGGCCCGACUUUUCUCUAAUUGAAUGCUAGUGUAUUAAAAAAAAAUUGGCCUGGGACCGAGGCUACUAUCGUGCAUACAUGCAGCCAUGUGCAAAGGGGUGAAACACCACUCUUGCAUGGGGCCUAAAAUCUUUUUCUGUGCCUCCCUACAAAGCCAUGCAUCAGCAUUCGAUGGUAAAUAAAUUGAAUACAGUAGGAUAAUCCAUUUUGAAGUUUUGCUGAGCUAUUCAAUAAAAACAAAUUCACUAAAUGCUAUUUCAGUUUCUGUAAUUUGGACGUCAUCAAGGUUGUUAACGAUUCAAUAUUUUGUUCAUACUCUCUCUGCAUGGGGAAAAGUAGCCUCGAUUCCAGGCCGCUGAGAAAGGCGGCCUGGUAUACACUGUUUACGCAUGCGCCAGAAUUACCAAGAAUCUUGGUAAUCGUAAAUUGUAGUAUAUUUAUCAGUAUUCUUAUUCCGCAUUUAGUUGUAAAACAUUGAUAUCCGUUUCAUUUAUAAUGAUGUCAUUGAAAAAAGAAAUCUAGUCCAAGUUGUGUAAUGGCUGCUACUUUCUCUUCUGCUCUCGCGUACGCGUUAUCCUGUGUUGGAAAACCAGGUCUAGUCUUGAAAGACAAGCAGCUGGAGGCGUUGAAGUGUCUGUACGCUGGUGUUUAUGUGGGUACCGUACCGACCGGCUAUGGCAAGUCCCAGAGCAAGUCCAUCUGCUUCAAUCCAGACACUCCCUUUCUUAAUUGGUGUGAAGCUUGACAGGACCAGUGCACCUCUCUCUGAAAGAAGUGUUGUGAUGAAAGAAGUGUUGUGAUGGUGAUUUCUCCUCUUGUUUCUCUGAGUGAAGCUAUCUUCAAAGUGUUGGUGUGUCUGUUCGACGUUCAGUGCCAUUCUCUCUGGAAGGAAGUAUUGUUGUGACAUUUGCCCAAAAUUGGUCACAGAGUAAGUACGUGGUAUCUGAUCUGAGAACUGUGUGGCCUGAAUGUGUUUACAAUCCGAGGGACUUGUGUGUAUCCGAUCCGAGGGACUUGUUGCUUGAGUGUAUCCGGACUUGUUGCUUGAGUGUGUAUUAAUGGAUAGUGCUUUCAAUGGUUUAACUAAUUUCUUAUGAGAUUAACUUGUCGCCUGAGUGUGUAUCCGAUCCGAGCCUCAAGUUAAUGAAUAAAUCUACAGAGCUGAUGUUUUACUUAGCUGUCUCUGUCUACAGUAUAUACAGAGAGGUAGCCUCUCCUUUUUCUUUUUUCUGUUCUUAUCACAAUAAGAUAAAAUACUGUUUUAACGUUCAAUGAGAUAAAAUACGGUAAAUAAUAAAUUAAUUGUCCACCCACGCGCCAACAGUAAAUACCAGGCCCACUAUUCAAGGGGCUGGAGUCG